RNAcentral lists this ribosomal RNA (427 nucleotides) under uncultured bacterium. RNAcentral describes it as "partial 16S ribosomal RNA". It matches the Rfam family "Bacterial small subunit ribosomal RNA", at positions 355 to 774 of the family's 1533-position model. The record is from RNAcentral.
UGGGGAAUAUUGGACAAUGGGCGAAAGCCUGAUCCAGCCAUGCCGCGUGUGUGAAGAAGGUCUUCGGAUUGUAAAGCACUUUAAGUUGGGAGGAAGGGCAUUAACCUAAUACGUUAGUGUUUUGACGUUACCGACAGAAUAAGCACCGGCUAACUCUGUGCCAGCAGCCGCGGUAAUACAGAGGGUGCAAGCGUUAAUCGGAAUUACUGGGCGUAAAGCGCGCGUAGGUGGUUGGUUAAGUUGGAUGUGAAAGCCCCGGGCUCAACCUGGGAACUGCAUCCAAAACUGGCAAGCUAGAGUACGGUAGAGGGUGGUGGAAUUUCCUGUGUAGCGGUGAAAUGCGUAGAUAUAGGAAGGAACACCAGUGGCGAAGGCGACCACCUGGACUGAUACUGACACUGAGGUGCGAAAGCGUGGGGAGCAAACA